UUACGACAAUAUCACGCUGAAACACCGGCUCUCGUAAGAUCACCGAAGUUAAGCAACAUCGAGCUGGUCAAUACUUAAAUGGGUAACCUUUUGUGGAUACUAGCUGCUGUAAU
Molecule: non-coding RNA, 113 nt
Organism: Acanthosepion pharaonis
Lineage: Eukaryota; Metazoa; Mollusca; Cephalopoda; Sepiida; Sepiidae
Source: the annotation of a GenBank genome assembly